GCGAACGCUGGCGGCAGGCCUAACACAUGCAAGUCGAACGAACCUUUCGGGGUUAGUGGCGGACGGGUGAGUAACACGUGGGAACGUGCCUUUAGGUUCGGAAUAACUCAGGGAAACUUGUGCUAAUACCGAAUGUGCCCUUCGGGGGAAAGAUUUAUCGCCUUUAGAGCGGCCCGCGUCUGAUUAGCUAGUUGGUUGAGGUAAUGGCUCACCAAGGCGACGAUCAGUAGCUGGUCUGAGAGGAUGAUCAGCCACAUUGGGACUGAGACACGGCCCAAACUCCUACGGGAGGCAGCAGUGGGGAAUCUUGCGCAAUGGGCGAAAGCCUGACGCAACCAUGCCGCGUGAAUGAUGAAGGUCUUAGGAUUGUAAAAUUCUUUCACCGGGGACGAUAAUGACGGUACCCGGAGAAGAAGCCCCGGCUAACUUCGUG
RNAcentral lists this ribosomal RNA (433 nucleotides) under uncultured bacterium. Its description in RNAcentral is "partial 16S ribosomal RNA". It matches the Rfam family "Bacterial small subunit ribosomal RNA", at positions 29 to 507 of the family's 1533-position model. The record is from RNAcentral.